Molecule: non-coding RNA, 59 nt
Organism: Leifsonia sp. Root112D2
Lineage: Bacteria; Bacillati; Actinomycetota; Actinomycetes; Micrococcales; Microbacteriaceae
Source: Rfam
GUUCAUCAUCCAUUCACUACGGAUCGUCCGGCACGUACCUGCCGGUGAAGGAGUAAUAC